RNAcentral lists this ribosomal RNA (492 nucleotides) under uncultured bacterium. Its description in RNAcentral is "partial 16S ribosomal RNA". It matches the Rfam family "Bacterial small subunit ribosomal RNA", at positions 29 to 507 of the family's 1533-position model. The record is from RNAcentral.
AGUGAACGCUGGCGGUAGGCCUAACACAUGCAAGUCGAACGGCAGCACAGUAAGAGCUUGCUCUUACGGGUGGCGAGUGGCGGACGGGUGAGGAAUACAUCGGAAUCUACUUUUUCGUGGGGGAUAACGUAGGGAAACUUACGCUAAUACCGCAUACGACCUACGGGUGAAAGCAGGGGAUCUUCGGACCUUGCGCGAUUGAAUGAGCCGAUGUCGGAUUAGCUAGUUGGCGGGGUAAAGGCCCACCAAGGCGACGAUCUGUAGCUGGUCUGAGAGGAUGAUCAGCCACACUGGAACUGAGACACGGUCCAGACUCCUACGGGAGGCAGCAGUGGGGAAUAUUGGACAAUGGGCGCAAGCCUGAUCCAGCCAUACCGCGUGGGUGAAGAAGGCCUUCGGGCUGUAAAGCCCUUUUGUUGGGAAAGAAAAGCAGCAGGUUAAUACCCCGCUGUUCUGACGGUACCCAAAGAAUAAGCACCGGCUAACUUCGUG